AUACUGUGAGGGUUAAGACACCAGCAGUUUCUAUUUUCUUUUUUCUUUUUUUUUUUUUGAGACGGAGUCUCGCUCUGUCGCCCAGGCUGGAGUGCAGUGGCCGGAUCUCAGCUCACUGCAAGCUCCGCCUCCCGGGUUUACGCCAUUCUCCUGCGUCAGCCUCCCGAGUAGCUGGGACUACAGGCGCCCGCCACCUCGCCCGGCUAGUUUUUUGUAUUUUUUUAGUAGAGACGGGGUUUCACCAUGUUAGCCAGGAUGGUCUCGAUCUCUUGACCUCGUGAUCCGCCUGCCUCGGCCUCCCAAAGUGCUGGGAUUACAGGCUUGAGCCACCGCGCCUGGCCAGUUUCUAUUUUUCAUACAAUCUUUCUUGAAAGUUUCAUUUUUCUUCUUCAACAGCUGGUUUGGGUUCACAAGAUAUAUAGGGUUUGAUUUUGGUGACCUCCAAAUGGGUCCAACCUGCACUGCCUUCUGCAUAUAUAAGUUCAUGCUUCUACUUAGUUCUCCUUAACGCAACAGGCCACUGGCAUGGCUGGAAUCUUUGGACCUUGUCCUGCACUGUGGACUGCUUAGCACAGGGAAGGCAGACGACAAGAGAGACAAACUAAUCAGAGAGAAUGAAGGGCACUGGAAGAGCUGAACCAUGCCCAGUCAUGGCUUACAGUUUGGUGAGAUGGGAAGCAGUGAGUGUGACCACAACCCACUGAUGAUAUCACCUAAGGGAAUAGUGGGUGGAAAAUGGAAGGAAUUUGAGUCCUUGAGUGACUUCAUAGUCUUCCUGCAAAUCUGCAUUGCUCUUCUUGGGACUGUAACACAAGGAAGAAAUGAACUUCCAUCUUAUUUAAGCCUCUGCAUAUAGAUGUACACUUAUUGGUGUUUCCUUUUUAGAAUAGCUAAAGCUUUACCUUAAUAAUCAAGAACUCAGCUC
RNAcentral lists this long non-coding RNA (925 nucleotides) under Rhinopithecus bieti (black snub-nosed monkey). Its description in RNAcentral is "lncRNA (ENSRBIG00000046292.1)". Lineage: Eukaryota; Metazoa; Chordata; Mammalia; Primates; Cercopithecidae. The record is from RNAcentral.